Molecule: long non-coding RNA, 1181 nt
Organism: Haliotis rubra (blacklip abalone)
Lineage: Eukaryota; Metazoa; Mollusca; Gastropoda; Lepetellida; Haliotidae
Exons: 3
Source: RefSeq, a predicted model, not a curated record
UAUCACGUGACAUCAAAGCUUGAUUUUGACCUUGUUGAACCCAAGCGUCACAGAAACGUACCUGAUUAUGGUGACAAGUCAUAUCGCGGAUAUAUUGAACAUUGAAAUACAGUUUCAGACUAGCUUUACGACAUCGAGAAAACAGGCGACGGGAGAAGUCAUCCCCCAUCCGACGUGUACCAGGCCGGUUUCUGGGACGGGGCAGAUGACGAGUCCGGGGGUGACUGUCCAGCCUCUAUCACACUAACCUGCAAGUGGAGUGCCCCUCCUUGAACACGGAGGAGCUUGUUGUGUCUCCCAGCAACCGAUGUAAACUCCCCUCACUGGGGGUUUUGCUUGCCACUUAUGUGUUGCGCCAUCAUACUGGCCUGCAAAAUCCCAACUGAGGAGGGCUGAAAGCUGCUCGACCAAUCAAAUUGCUGGUUACAGUCAGGUAUCCAAUCAGAACGUGCAAAGUCACAGAACUGGACUCACAUCUUCUAGGUAAUUUAACCGAAUGACUUCAGACUGAAUAAUGUCAUGACAUACAGGUUUCAAAUGUUGGAUCUUUCCUACGGAACUGCAUACUGUAGUCGCUUAAAGUGCUUUUAUUGGAGACUUGGGAAGGUUUCAGGGAAUUGUAUCAUUAACGGGUAUCAGGUAACGGCUGUGUCUAAAAAUAUCAAGGACGCUCAAUAAAUAGUAUGCAUAUAGUCUUCUGUUUGAACGCAUGUAGGGGAGCUGUCAUUACUUUUUAAUACCGUAUUUCCUCUGUUAGAUUCCUGGUCGUCUAUUAAUUCCGUGCCAGUCGUCGACCGAGGGUCUAUUCUGUUUAAUGAUGGCACCCUUGGCGAGAAACUAUACCUUACUGAAUCCCAAAUCCUACAGUUGUACAAAGGGUACAUUUGCAUGAAAGCAACAACAUAUGGCAAUAAAAAAGGGAACUGUUAUCUUAGCUUCUAUUAGCCUGGCUUCUAUUUUCUGGAAAGAGCGCAUGGCCAUGGAUCAAGGAGAGAUCAGAAUGUAUUAUAAUCUCAGCGUCUAGCAGAGGAAAUACGGUACUCUUAAUCUGACACAUUCAGGUUUCAAAACACGCUGGAAACUGUUAUGAUUGUAUAAGGAAGGAAGCGAAACAUCCAACGCAGAAUUUCGCAAUGUCAGGAUUCUCAUGUAUGUUUGUAUAAAUAAAACUCUUAACAGAA